Molecule: ribosomal RNA, 500 nt
Filed under: uncultured microorganism
Description: bacterial SSU rRNA
Rfam family: Archaeal small subunit ribosomal RNA
Source: RNAcentral
AGUGGGUGUAACGUACCUACUAGCCGACGACGGGUACGGGUUGUGAGAGCAAGAGCCCGGAGAUGGAUUCUGAGACAUGAAUCCAGGCCCUACGGGGCGCAGCAGGCGCGAAAACUUUACAAUGCGGGAAACCGCGAUAAGGGGACACUGAGUGCCAGCACCAUGUGCUGGCUGUCCGCAUGUAUAAAUCACAUGUGUCAGCAAGGGCCGGGCAAGACCGGUGCCAGCCGCCGCGGUAACACCGGCGGCCCGAGUGGUGGCCAUUAUUAUUGGGUCUAAAGGGUCCGUAGCCGGUUUGAUCAGUCUUCCGGGAAAUCUGACAGCUCAACUGUUAGGCUUCUGGGGGAUACUGUCAGACUUGGAACCGGGAGAGGUAAGAGGUACUACAGGGGUAGGAGUGAAAUCUUGUAAUCCUUGUGGGACCACCAGUGGCGAAGGCGUCUUACCAGAACGGGUUCGACGGUGAGGGACGAAAGCUGGGGGCACGAACCGGAUUAGAU